GACGAACGCUGGCGGCGUGCUUAACACAUGCAAGUCGAACGGAAAGGCCCUGCUUUUGUGGGGUGCUCGAGUGGCGAACGGGUGAGUAACACGUGAGUAACCUGCCCUUGACUUUGGGAUAACUUCAGGAAACUGGGGCUAAUACCGGAUAGGAGCUCCUGCUGCAUGGUGGGGGUUGGAAAGUUUCGGCGGUUGGGGAUGGACUCGCGGCUUAUCAGCUUGUUGGUGGGGUAGUGGCUUACCAAGGCUUUGACGGGUAGCCGGCCUGAGAGGGUGACCGGGGACAUGGGGACUGAGAGACGGCGCAGACGCCAACGGGAGGCAGCAGGGGGGAAUAUGGCACAGUGGGCGGAAGCGUGAGACAGCAACGCCGGGUGCGGGAUGACGGCCUGCGGGUUGUAAACCGCUUUCGCCUGUGACGAAGCGUGAGUGACGGUAAUGGGUAAAGAAGCACCGGCUAACUACGUG
Molecule: ribosomal RNA, 468 nt
Filed under: uncultured bacterium
Lineage: Bacteria
Description: partial 16S ribosomal RNA
Rfam family: Bacterial small subunit ribosomal RNA
Source: RNAcentral